RNAcentral lists this ribosomal RNA (430 nucleotides) under uncultured Acidobacteriota bacterium. RNAcentral's name for it is "bacterial SSU rRNA". It matches the Rfam family "Bacterial small subunit ribosomal RNA", at positions 1 to 451 of the family's 1533-position model. Lineage: Bacteria; Pseudomonadati; Acidobacteriota. The record is from RNAcentral.
UAGAGUUUGAUCCUGGCUCAGAAUCAACGCUGGCGGCGCGCCUAACACAUGCAAGUCGAGCGAGAAAGUGGAGCAAUCCAUGAGUACAGCGGCGUACGGGUGAGUAACACGUGGAUGAUCUACCUCUUAGUGGGGAAUAACUCUGGGAAACCGGAGCUAAUACCGCAUAAGUCCGGGAGGAGAAAGCAGCAAUGCGCUGAGAGAGGAGUCCGCGGCCGAUUAGCUAGUUGGCAGGGUAAAAGCCUACCAAGGCAACGAUCGGUAGCCGGCCUGAGAGGGCACACGGCCACACUGGCACUGAAACACGGGCCAGACUCCUACGGGAGGCAGCAGUGGGGAAUCUUGCACAAUGGGGGAAACCCUGAUGCAGCGACGCCGCGUGAGCGAUGAAGCCCUUCGGGGUGUAAAGCUCUUUCGGCAGGGAAGAUGA